This 253-nucleotide ribosomal RNA is filed under the name uncultured bacterium. RNAcentral describes it as "partial 16S ribosomal RNA". It matches the Rfam family "Bacterial small subunit ribosomal RNA", at positions 524 to 776 of the family's 1533-position model. The record is from RNAcentral.
UACAGAGGUCUCAAGCGUUGUUCGGAUUCAUUGGGCGUAAAGGGUGCGUAGGCGGCGCGGUAAGUCGGAUGUGAAAUCUCGGAGCUUAACUUCGAAACUGCAUUCGAUACUGCCGUGCUUGAGGACUGGAGAGGAGACUGGAAUUUACGGUGUAGCGGUGAAAUGCGUAGAUAUCGUAAGGAAGACCAGUGGCGAAGGCGGGUCUCUGGACAGUUCCUGACGCUGAGACGCGAAAGCGUGGGGAGCGAACAGG